RNAcentral lists this ribosomal RNA (544 nucleotides) under Chiromantis rufescens (African foam-nest treefrog). Its description in RNAcentral is "partial large subunit ribosomal RNA". It matches the Rfam family "Bacterial large subunit ribosomal RNA", at positions 1820 to 2596 of the family's 2925-position model. Lineage: Eukaryota; Metazoa; Chordata; Amphibia; Anura; Rhacophoridae. The record is from RNAcentral.
CUCUUGCCUCACAUAAGAGGUCCAGCCUGCCCAGUGAAAUUUUAACGGCCGCGGUACCCUGACCGUGCGAAGGUAGCAUAAUCACUCGUUCUCUAAAUGGGGACUUGUAUCAAUGGCAUCACGAGGGUCACACUGUCUCCUCUCUCCAAUCAGUGAACCUAAUCUCCCCGUGAAGAAGCGGGGUUACACCCAUAAGACGAGAAGACCCCAUGGAGCUUUAAACCUUAAAGCAAUUUAAAUAAAAUAUUUCCACAUAUACUUUAUAUAUGCAUGAAAGUUUUGGGUUGGGGUGACCGCGGAGCAAAAACUAACCUCCACAACGAAAAGAACUAAACCUUUAUCUAAGAACUACUAUUCUAAGAAUCAACAUACUGACGAAUACUGAUCCGAUAAUCGAUCAAUGAACCAAGUUACCCUGGGGAUAACAGCGCAAUCUACUUCGAGAGCUCAUAUCGACAAGUAGGCUUACGACCUCGAUGUUGGAUCAGGGUGUCCCAGUGGUGCAGCCGCUACUAAUGGUUCGUUUGUUCAACGAUUAAACCCC